This 92-nucleotide small RNA is filed under the name Soonwooa buanensis. RNAcentral describes it as "Flavo-1 RNA". It matches the Rfam family "Flavo-1 RNA". The record is from Rfam by way of RNAcentral. Lineage: Bacteria; Pseudomonadati; Bacteroidota; Flavobacteriia; Flavobacteriales; Weeksellaceae.
AACUAGCCCCGAUUGCAGUGGAAAUCCUUUUUGGAUGAAAUGGCAUAAAGCUUUGGCAUCCAAAAAGAUUGCAACGAAAAGCGGGAUUAGCU